CCCUUAGAUGUUCUGGGCCGCACGCGCGCUACACUGACUACUUCAACGAGUUGUUUCCUUGAUCGAAAGGUCUGGGUAAUCUUUGAAAGGUAGUCGUGAUGGGGAUAGAUCCUUGCAAUUUUUGAUCUUCAACGAGGAAUUCCUAGUAAACGCAAGUCAUCAGCUUGCAUUGAUUACGCCCCUGCCCUUUGUACACACCGCCCGUCGCACCUACCGAUUGAAUGGUCCGGUGAAUCUUUAGGACUGUGGCUGAGGCCUUGCCUUGUGCGGGUCUGGCCGUGGGAAUUUAGUUAAACCUUACCAUUUAGAGGAAGGUGAAGUCGUAACA
Molecule: ribosomal RNA, 328 nt
Filed under: uncultured eukaryote
Lineage: Eukaryota
Description: partial 18S ribosomal RNA
Rfam family: Eukaryotic small subunit ribosomal RNA
Source: RNAcentral